Long non-coding RNA from Archocentrus centrarchus (flier cichlid), 631 nucleotides. RefSeq lists it as uncharacterized. NCBI's taxonomy places the organism in Eukaryota, Metazoa, Chordata, Actinopteri, Cichliformes, Cichlidae. The record is from RefSeq and is a predicted model, not a curated record. The transcript is spliced from 3 exons.
UACAGAAGUGCGGGAAGCUUCCAGAAACCCUGUGGACUUACACAUUGGAAGAAGCUAAUCUUCUCUAAAGACCAGUGAUGUUGCCAUGAGGACUGCUGUCCUGCGAUGUCUCGGUUUUCCUCGGGGGUGAUGAAAGAGACUUCUACAAUGUCUCUUUUGAUUCAGAUGCCGUGGCAGACUUCACCCAGGUUCCUGUGGGAUUAUUGCCUGUUAUUCCUGAAGUCAGUCAGCAACCAGGUCCGAAUGCUCUUCACCUUGAACCAUCCAGCAUGUUAUCAUUCUGGAAGGUACAAUUGUCAUGGUUGACACUGAACGCCACCAUCAAGCUGUUUGUCUCAUAUUUGGGCUGAUCUAUGCCCUUCAUAUUUGGACUGAUCUAUGCCCUUCAUAUUUGGGCUGAUCUAUGCCCUUCAUAUUUGGACUGAUCUAUGCCCUUCAUAUUUGGACUGAUCUAUGCCUUUCAUAUUUGGGCUGAUCUAUGCCCUUCAUAUUUGGACUGAUCUAUGCCUUUCAUAUUUGGGCUGAUCUAUGCCAUUCAUAUUUGGACUGAUCUAUGCCUUUCAUAUUUGGACUGAUCUAUGCCCUCCAUCCUGACAGUCCUAAAAAGCACCUUUGACUUCAUUCAGAGACU